This 28-nucleotide small RNA is filed under the name Bombyx mori (domestic silkworm). Its description in RNAcentral is "ovarian small RNA-22823". The record is from RNAcentral. Lineage: Eukaryota; Metazoa; Arthropoda; Insecta; Lepidoptera; Bombycidae.
UAGUAAACAAUGUCAACUACCUACUUCC